This is a long non-coding RNA of Etheostoma spectabile (orangethroat darter), 126 nucleotides long. RefSeq lists it as uncharacterized. The transcript is spliced from 4 exons. The record is from RefSeq and is a predicted model, not a curated record. NCBI's taxonomy places the organism in Eukaryota, Metazoa, Chordata, Actinopteri, Perciformes, Percidae.
UCCUGAUAAAAAGAAGUGUUUUCCAUUCAUCGUAGUGUUUUGCAUUGAGCACAUCAGUGUUCAACUGGUUCUUAUGAAUGUCUGUUCAUAUGAUGGUUUGUGUGUGUGGGUGUGUGGGUGUGUGUG